Molecule: long non-coding RNA, 450 nt
Organism: Rattus norvegicus (Norway rat)
Lineage: Eukaryota; Metazoa; Chordata; Mammalia; Rodentia; Muridae
Source: RefSeq, a predicted model, not a curated record
GAGUCCCUUUGCUAUCACGUGAUCGGAUACAUCCGCUCUUCCGGAACAAAUGAGGGAUGAACAAGAGUUGACGGUUGCAAGGAACGUUCCAUUUUUAUCCUGUGGCAUCUUGUGCCUUCUGGCACAGUGUGGGGUGCACAGACCCCAGAGACGCUCAGUACCACAGGUCUGCAGGGAACAGGAGGCUCUGUCAGUCCCUCUCCUUAUGGGGAAGACAGAAGGAGCUUAGAGACUCGGAGUAUCAUCACAGUCCAAAGAAGCAGGGCUUCAAGCUGCUCUCUGCUUGAUUUUUGUGACUUUCUGGAAGAGGACACCGAUUCUCUGAUCUACAUGGUCCCCAUUCUGAGAUUCUCCCUGGGGACUUUGUGAACAGGGACACAGAUGGUCUUGUUCUGGAAGAAAGGUUUUCAUGGAUGUCUGCCUUGCAAACAUUAAAGAUUAAAAAAUCCA